AUUUUAUUUUCUUCUAACAUAUUAAAUCCAACUGAUUGUUUUUUUUUUCUUCUUCUUUUCUU
This 62-nucleotide small RNA is filed under the name Arabidopsis thaliana (thale cress). Its description in RNAcentral is "ATSL060080". Lineage: Eukaryota; Viridiplantae; Streptophyta; Magnoliopsida; Brassicales; Brassicaceae. The record is from RNAcentral.